UACGGGGGGAGCAAGCGUUGUUCGGAUUUACUGGGCGUAAAGGGCGCGUAGGCGGUCAGUGCAAGUCAGUUGUGAAAUCUCCGGGCUUAACUCGGAAAGGUCAACUGAUACUGCUCGACUAGAGUGCGGAAGGGGCAACUGGAAUUCUUGGUGUAGCGGUGAAAUGCGUAGAUAUCAAGAGGAACACCGGUGGCGAAGGCGGGUCUCUGGGCCGAUAUUGACGCUGAGGAGCGAAAGCGUGGGGAGCGAACAGG
RNAcentral lists this ribosomal RNA (254 nucleotides) under uncultured bacterium. RNAcentral's name for it is "partial 16S ribosomal RNA". It matches the Rfam family "Bacterial small subunit ribosomal RNA", at positions 524 to 776 of the family's 1533-position model. The record is from RNAcentral.